Molecule: long non-coding RNA, 544 nt
Organism: Panicum virgatum (switchgrass)
Lineage: Eukaryota; Viridiplantae; Streptophyta; Magnoliopsida; Poales; Poaceae
Exons: 3
Source: RefSeq, a predicted model, not a curated record
UAGACUCCCCCCACCUCGCCGCCACUGCCCUGUCCGCCCACCCCGCCGGCACCCAGUCGGGCUGAGGCGCCACCACCGCCCUGCCCCGCUCGAGCUACCGCCUCUGCCCUGCUCCGCCCGCAGCGGGGCCUUCCUCCCGGGUGGGUCGAGUGGCGGGGAAUCUGCCCAUGCCUUCGUUGGGGAAUCCGGCGGCGGCCGGCUUCCCUGCCCUGCCCCGCCUCGGUCGCAGGCUGGUGGGGUGAGGGCAAGGCUCCCCCCAAGGCCGCGCCUCCUUGCAGCGGCGCGGCCACUCCUUGAGCUGCACACAGUUUUGGAUGAGGUGAUACUGGGAGGACAGGUGAUCGAAACAAGUUCGGAGCGAGCAAAUAACGAAAUCUGUGGAGGAGAUUGCAAGACUGGAGAAACAAUCAAGCACAACCAGCCUCGUACCCAAGUCGAUUUCAGAGCGUUUCAGUCGUUAAGGUUUCACUUGCUUCCAGGACUGAACAUUCAUGGUGUGAUCAGAAACACAGAAGACAAGAUUGGCCCUCGAGCUUACCUUCAG